CACCACAAGCACUGUCACGCUUUCUAGGCCGGAUUAGAGGCAGAUGUCUCCGUGGGGAGACUACACAAAGCAGCACUGAGGCAGAGUUCAACAUCUUGCGAUACGCACAGCGAUACCAGCGGCGGCGACAGCGUGCACGCGCGUGGGUGCACACAGACUUGACCCUCUCCGAGAGAAGAGGGGCGACCGUCUGUGUGUGUCGCCUGCCCUCCUCUCUUUGCUGUCCCCCCCUCCCCCCCCCCCACACACACACACGCACAUCUUCACCGUUCCGCUUCCACUUAUCUGCCUCGCUCUCGUCUGCGAGUGCUCUGCUGAAGCCUCUUGGGUAGUACAGCCCCCCCCUCCUGUCGCUAGUGCCUCUUACCGAAAGCCAUGUUCCGACACACCGCGCGCCGCAUGUCGAGCCUAUCGAGUUUCACCGGGAUCGAGGUUGAUCCUUACACGGCGAAGUCGAUGUUUUUGUUUGGGUUCAUUGCGUCUGUCGGCUUCUUGUCUGUCUACUCCGUGAAGGAGACGAAGAAGGCGGGGCCGAUCGAGUUGCCGGAGGAGCUUGAAGCGCAGCGGCAGCGACACAACGAUCCGCGGCGACCGCCGUGGCCGCUGCUGCACCAGCGCGUCGUGCUGCUCCGAGAGGGCAAGGGCGCCCCCGAGGAUAUCGCGCUCAUGUGGGAGCAGACGAAACACUACUACCCGGCGGACUGGCUGAUCCCGCUGGAGCUCACGCAGGUGCUCAAGUACUCGAGCGGGAAGUACCUGCAGACGUAUGUGGCAGAUCCGGACGAGAUGCGCAAGGAAGUGCUGAUGCAGCUGCUGAACGUCAAGUACGGCCGUGUCAGUGAUCUCAAAGGCGGGCGAGUGAACAAGGAUGUCGAGGAGAUCAUCUCCAUGGCGGUCGACGACCUUGAAAACAUGGACCUGAACCCGUCCGCGGACGCGGUGCUCAUCCCGACCCACACGUGACACGCGUAGAUGCGAACCUGACAAUGGGCCGUACGAAUGCAGGGAGAAUACACAGAAAAGAGGCAGCGAAAAUGCGGUGUGGUCUGCGCUACUGUUGCCGAUAGCUUUCAUGUUGGCCGUGCACAUGCGUGUUUCAUGCGCGCAUGCAUCUCUCCCCCUCUCUUGUGUUGCUCUCGCUGUUGCCUGUUCUGUCGUGCUGACCGCUCAGCGAGGGCUAAUCUGACCUUCUACUCGCACCCUCACACUGCCAAGCCCAC
RNAcentral lists this unclassified non-coding RNA (1220 nucleotides) under Leishmania donovani. RNAcentral's name for it is "gene:LdHU3.08.1560(CDS-product:MIX_protein)". Lineage: Eukaryota; Euglenozoa; Kinetoplastea; Trypanosomatida; Trypanosomatidae. The record is from RNAcentral.